GGAGUCGGGCAGGUGGUCGCCGGUCUCGCAAGAGGCUGGAGGAAAGUCCGGACUCCAAGGGCAGGGUGCUGGGUAACGCCCAGGCGGAGCGAUCCGACACCGGCGCAACAGAAAGCAUACCGCCGAUGGCCGGCGUUCGAAAGAGCGUCGGAUCAGGCAAGGGUGAAAUGGCGGGGUAAGAGCCCACCGCGGUCGUGGCGACACGGCUGGCCGGCAAGCGUCACCUGGAGCAAGGCCAAAUAGGAGGGCACGAGGAGCGGGACACCGGUGCUGCUCCUCAACGGCUGGCCCGGCCGAGGCCUUCGGGUAGGCCGCACGAGGCCCGGAGCAAUCCGGGCCCCAGAGAAAUGAUCACCGCGAUCUUUCCGCAAGGGAAGGUCGGCACAGAAUCCGGCUUACAGCCCGACUCCCACA
Molecule: RNase P RNA, 414 nt
Filed under: Nitrospirota bacterium
Lineage: Bacteria; Pseudomonadati; Nitrospirota
Description: Nitrospirae bacterium RNase P RNA component class A
Rfam family: Bacterial RNase P class A
About the family: Ribonuclease P (RNase P) is a ubiquitous endoribonuclease, found in archaea, bacteria and eukarya as well as chloroplasts and mitochondria.
Source: RNAcentral